CUCAGUGCUGGCUCCUGAGAGUUGCUGGGCUUGGAGUGCCCAGGUUAGCUUGGCAGCCAGCCCUCUUAACAGCCACAUGUCUUAGACAAGCAGCCUUCUCCCAGGAAUUUUGUGUGGCAGACUUUUUGAUAAGCAAAAGAGGAGAAUAGCUGGCAGUGGCUAUCAGCUCUUCCUCGUUGAGCACCUGAUGCCCAAGUGUGACAGGGUGUGGGAAAAGCUGAGCACCAUCUCCUGGAAGCAGCAAAUAUAAACCCACAACAGCAACAGAUGCCGGACCUGAUGCCCUACCUGGGAGCACUGUGACCAAGCCUGAUUUCUGUCUGGCUGCUCUUCUUCGUUGCUGCAUGCCUGGGGAUGAGCUCAGCCAACAUGUAGCUGUGGCUAACCUGGGCAUGCAGUGGACCGAGCUCUGAGGGAUCUGUGCACUGUGCAGAUGAGCUGGAGAGUGGGAUGGGCUGCACAGUCAUUCCUGGGGGCAACAGCAACAUGAUUCUCAGCGAUGGUCAGUGUUUGGCUCCCGUAUGCUGUGCAGGAGAGUAGGAUUUGCCAUCAGGGCUGGCAAGAAGGACUGGGCUGGGUCAGCCUGGCAGGAGGCAGGAUGAUGCCUGUGAGACCCAGUUAGAGGCUGCCUAUAAAUCCAGUGUAGGUUGCUGCCUGGUAAGCUCAGCCCACAGCCACCUGCAAACCUGCAGAAGAGAGGGCUGCAUCUCCCCAGGCUAUUCCUGCAGUCUCUAUGCUUUGAUAUGGCUCCCCCUUUUGCGUUUGUUCCCUCUCCCCUGGUCUAACCUCUGAAACAGUUGCAGUGAAUCACAUACUUUCCCUAUUAACCCACCAGCCAGUGCUGCUGGCUCAGAUAGUGACAGGGACAAUGUGAACUCUCCUGUUCCUCUCAAAAUCACAGAGAGGACAGUGAGGGACCCUUGGAAAUGCUCUGGAUGCAUCUGCAGGACCAGCUUGUGCCAUGCUCACCUCUGGUGUGAUCUACCCCCAGAUCUCUCCCAAGAGAGCCCACCUGUAUCACUCAGGGCAGAUGACAAAGCUCUUUGAAAGUGCCUUGGGGGUUGAAGAUGGAGCCCUGUGACUACUGUGAGCUGCAGGACAAGGAGACAUUCAUCUUCAGUCUCUUCCCUUGCAGAUGGUGGAGAGGAGGCUCUUGUUCAGGAAGGGCAGUGGCUUCCCAGCCCAAGGCUUGAAAUUGCUGCUGUGGGGAAUGCCUGUGGUGUAGGUACCAGCAAGCCCAUGGAAAUCCUCCUCAGUAUGUACAGAUGCAGAGGGGUGUGGAGAUGAGGGGGCUCUGCUCUGGAGCAUGAGCUGCCCGGGGCUUGGUUUUUUCACCAGCUCCAAAUUUGUGAAGUGAUGAGCGGCAUGGCUCCAUUUCCCCACACGGCCCCUUUCCCUCUCCCCUCCUUCCAGGCUUGUGUGUCUUUAUUGAUUUGGAUGGUUUGUCUGAGUGAGAGUUCAAAUGUCUCACUAUCCCCAUGAGUGGGCAAGCAAACAGACAAACAGAUAUGAUCCUGGAAUGUAGACAUGAGUGAUGACCCACACAUUAUCCUGAGUGUGUGUUUGUGUGCCUCUGUUCUUCUGUGCCCCUCUGCAUGUACUCUUCCUUUACCAUUUUAGUUUUUUUGCCUCUCCU
Lepidothrix coronata (blue-crowned manakin) is the source of this 1636-nucleotide long non-coding RNA. RefSeq lists it as uncharacterized. The transcript has 3 exons. The record is from RefSeq and is a predicted model, not a curated record. Lineage: Eukaryota; Metazoa; Chordata; Aves; Passeriformes; Pipridae.